GAAGACUUAUUGGGGGACAGGAAGUAGGAAAAGUGAAGGAGCUAAACGAGGCACACCUGGGAGCAGGAGCAGGAGGAGGAGUCGUCAAUAAACAAAGAGAGCAUGGAGCUGAGUGAAAGUGAAGAGAUCAAUUUGAACCUAAAUAAGGAAGACACCCAAAAAUAAAGUAAAAUGGCCUGUACUGAAGAUGGUAUGCUGGGAUACAUAUUUGUUAAAAGGAAAUAUGCAACCUCCUGACCGGUGUUCACUGGACAAACAGAGGAUGAAGCCUUGCUGUUGUUACCCGGGGUUAUUUGGAUUCUUUCUCAACAGGCUGCUUCACCAGGUCAGUCCUUUGACAGAAAACAGUGGCAAGAGGUUUAGAGUCAGCAGGUAGAUGGAUGCAAGGCUCUCAUGCAUGUAGCA
Molecule: long non-coding RNA, 405 nt
Organism: Monopterus albus (swamp eel)
Lineage: Eukaryota; Metazoa; Chordata; Actinopteri; Synbranchiformes; Synbranchidae
Exons: 3
Source: RefSeq, a predicted model, not a curated record